Molecule: ribosomal RNA, 467 nt
Filed under: uncultured bacterium
Lineage: Bacteria
Description: partial 16S ribosomal RNA
Rfam family: Bacterial small subunit ribosomal RNA
Source: RNAcentral
GAUGAGCGCUGACGGAAUGCUUAACACAUGCAAGUCAACUUGAAUUUGGGUUUUUAACUUAGGUUUGGGUGGCGGACGGGUGAGUAACGCGUAAAGAACUUGCCUCACAGCUAGGGACAACAUUUGGAAACGAAUGCUAAUACCUAAUAUUAUGAUAAUAGGGCAUCCUAUAAUUAUGAAAGCUAUAAGCGCUGUGAGAGAGCUUUGCGUCCCAUUAGCUAGUUGGAGAGGUAACGGCUCACCAAGGCGAUGAUGGGUAGCCGGCCUGAGAGGGUGAUCGGCCACAAGGGGACUGAGACACGGCCCUUACUCCUACGGGAGGCAGCAGUGGGGAAUAUUGGACAAUGGACCGAGAGUCUGAUCCAGCAAUUCUGUGUGCACGAUGAAGUUUUUCGGAAUGUAAAGUGCUUUCAGUUGGGAAGAAACAAAUGACGGUACCAACAGAAGAAGUGACGGCUAAAUACGUG